GCCCAGCUGGCUCAGUCAAAAGAGUGUGUGACUCUUGACCGCGGGGUUGUGGGUUCGAGCCCCACGUUGGGUA
This 73-nucleotide transfer RNA is filed under the name Ailuropoda melanoleuca (giant panda). It matches the Rfam family "tRNA". Rfam says of the family: Transfer RNA (tRNA) molecules are approximately 80 nucleotides in length. Their secondary structure includes four short double-helical elements and three loops (D, anti-codon, and T loops). Further hydrogen bonds mediate the characteristic L-shaped molecular structure. tRNAs have two regions of fundamental functional importance: the anti-codon, which is responsible for specific mRNA codon recognition, and the 3' end, to which the tRNAs corresponding amino acid is attached (by aminoacyl-tRNA synthetases). tRNAs cope with the degeneracy of the genetic code in two manners: having more than one tRNA (with a specific anti-codon) for a particular amino acid; and 'wobble' base-pairing, i.e. permitting non-standard base-pairing at the 3rd anti-codon position. The record is from Rfam by way of RNAcentral. Lineage: Eukaryota; Metazoa; Chordata; Mammalia; Carnivora; Ursidae.